This 506-nucleotide ribosomal RNA is filed under the name uncultured bacterium. Its description in RNAcentral is "partial 16S ribosomal RNA". It matches the Rfam family "Bacterial small subunit ribosomal RNA", at positions 29 to 523 of the family's 1533-position model. The record is from RNAcentral.
AACGAACGCUGGCGGCGCGUCUUAAGCAUGCAAGUCGAACGGCAAGCGGUAGCAAUAUCGCCUAGAGUGGCGGACUGGUGAGCAACGCGUGGGCGACAUACCUUUUAGAUGGGGAUGGCCAUUAGAAAUAGUGGGUAAUACCGAAUGUGACCACCCAUGUUAGAGGUUGGUGAGGAAAGAUGCUACGGCAUCGCUAAGAGAAUGGCUUGCGUCCCAUUAGCUAGUUGGUAAGGUAAUGGCUUACCAAGGCGACGAUGGGAAGCCGGCCUGGGAGGGCGAGCGGACACACUGGGACUGAGUUACGGCCCAGACUCCUACGGGAGGCAGCAGCUAAGAAUAUACCACAAUGGACGGAAGUCUGACGGAGCGACGCCGCGUGAAUGACGAAGGCCGAAAGGUUGUAAAGUUCCUUUGUACCUGAAGAAUAAGUUGGGGAGGGAAUGCCCUAAUGGUGACGGUAAGGUAUGAAUAAGCCACGGCAAAUUACGUGCCAGCCGCCGCCGUAA